UCCUCAGUAGCUCAGGGGUAGAGCGAUCGGCUGUUAACCGAUUUGUCGUAGGUUCAAAUCCUACCUGGGGAG
Molecule: transfer RNA, 72 nt
Filed under: Phaeocystis globosa
Lineage: Eukaryota; Haptophyta; Phaeocystales; Phaeocystaceae
Also listed under: 6 other names
Description: tRNA-Asn
Rfam family: tRNA
About the family: Transfer RNA (tRNA) molecules are approximately 80 nucleotides in length. Their secondary structure includes four short double-helical elements and three loops (D, anti-codon, and T loops).
Source: RNAcentral